GGCAUCGAAAAGCGAAUUACGUUUCGAUGUUAGCACGGUCAAAUGCUGGAUGUCCCUCCACGUCAGAGAUGGACUACGGUGAUUCAACGAAUACAACUGCAACGUUUUUCGCAGUAAAAGGAACUGGGAGCAUCUGCGCUGUGACUUACGAAAAAUUCGGAUACAGAUCGAGCGAUAUCCGUCAGCAAAGAGGAGGAAUGAAUCACGUAAGCGAUGGAACGUUUUCGUGUGCUGGCUGGUCUGGAUGUGCGUAUGUAGCAGAUAGUAUUACCUAUUAUGAUUGCGAAAGACUAUCUCACUACACUCUAGGACGUUUCCGCUGCUGUUUCUCUGCUUUUGCGUAACUGGAUGCGGGAAAUGAGUUAUUGAUUUGUCGGUGACGCGGUUCGAUUUGGUACACCCUUAUAUUUACUAUCCAUCAACCUUUUUCUUUCGGUGUGUUUUUUUUUUUUUUCCCCCUUUCUGUCAGUUGCAUUUCACAUGUACCCUGUGGGUGUAAACAAAAUGCUAGAUUGAAAAUGUGGGAAGUUGACGGUGGCCUCCGA
Molecule: long non-coding RNA, 545 nt
Organism: Daphnia magna
Lineage: Eukaryota; Metazoa; Arthropoda; Branchiopoda; Diplostraca; Daphniidae
Exons: 3
Source: RefSeq, a predicted model, not a curated record